GGGGUUCUGGCUCCGUGGUAGAGUGCUUGCCUAGCAUGCAUGUGGCAGUGGGUUCAGUCCCCAGUACCACA
RNAcentral lists this transfer RNA (71 nucleotides) under Marmota monax (woodchuck). RNAcentral describes it as "tRNA.Ala". Lineage: Eukaryota; Metazoa; Chordata; Mammalia; Rodentia; Sciuridae. The record is from RNAcentral.